UGACUUUCGGAUUCUCUUGAGGCUGGUUGCUGGCCACAGGCACCAGGAAAGCAGGGUGAGGGCCCAAUGAUACCACCUUUUCUUGGGCCCCGUAAUUCCAUUUGGCGGUGGGAGCAUUUUCUCCCAGCCUUGCCUGAAGACUUGCAUGUCUUCUGCGAUAAAUGCCAUAUCGUAUAAGGUGCUCCUGAAUAAUUGGGUGCAGCUGAGAUUUUCCUACAGCGAACCAUCGAGCCAAGGCCACUGGGGAAACCAGCUAACUAGACACAGACCAGAUGUGAAUCCUCUGUGAUUGGAAGUACCAUCUUCUCUCCUCUGCAGAAAUCGGUGUCUUUAAUUUUAGAAGGUUUGCUUAGAAGGAAGUCCACCAACAAGUUCUUGCCUUUUUAAAAUUCCUGGCUUAGGUGAAUAUUUUUAAAGGCUCUUGUUUGAAUAAAAAGAGGGGAGUGAACACCAUGUUUCAGCUCUGGAAUGGAAGACGGUGUGAGUACGGAGCUGGCUAGAGUGCGGAGCUGGCUGCUGGGCUUCUAUAACGGGCGCCGUGGGCACUCGGGUGCCGUUUCGGAAUUCUUUCUUGGGAUAAUGCCAUUUUAAGGAGCCUUUCCAAAUGGAGACAAGGCUUUCUGAGGGAGAAGGAUGUUUUCUGUGGGUUGGGCUUGGGGGGAGGGAGGAGGGAAGCUACAUGUUACUUCGUCUGUAGUAGUGUGGAACGGUGUUGUUCCAGAGUGCCAGUGUAGAGGUAUUUGCAAACUUGUCUAGAAAUGAGAGCAUGUUUGUUUUUUGUUUUUUUGUUCGUUUGUUUGUUUUGGGGUUUGUUUGUGUGUUUUUUUUAGCCCCUUGUGAGUCUAAAUCUAAAUGAACAUUCUUGCUCAUCCAUAAAUAACUUCAAGCCUCAACAUCAGAAUAGUGUUGGAAUGCUCUCUCUCAUCCUGGCAUCUCCGACAGGACCAGGUUCAUUACAUUUCCUUCCAUAACCAUGAACCUGUGUUGGCAUCACUCAUCUUGCCUUUAUCCAGCCCUGUCUUUGGGUGAGGCCAGAGUUCCCACUUCCUGUUUUCAGAAAAGCCAGAGGCGUCCUCCAUCCCUGGGAGCUGCUUGGCUGAGUAGGUAGGGGUGAGGUGAGAGGGGUUGGGGUUCCUGGACAGUGGACCUAUUUAGAGAUGGCACAGUUGGCCGUUCCCACUUUUUCCUCGAUUUCUGGAAGUUGCUCUGUGUUCUGUGAUGAGUGAGGUCCUUUGAGUCCUGCAGCUGAGAGAGCUGUGGGUUCCAACCCCCGAUCGACAUGGGGCGGGCGGGUGAGGCUGUUGCAGGCAGAGGGAAGUAACCCGGAACAGACUCACUUUCUAUAGGACAAGUGUACAUUUGCCAAAACCUGUGUAUCGUGCUUUCCCAGACUGGAUUCCAACCGCAUGGACAGUCGGAGCUCAGGACCAGCCCCAGACAUGUCUUUCUCCCUCUUUCCAAUUCAAAUCUGUCCCCAUAUCAGACUGCUGGUUAUAAAGCCAUUUCUUUGUAGUUGAUAACAGCGUGAGUCCCAGAACUCUCAGAUAAGAGGAAAUUGGCUUGAUCGGAAUGGGGGAUUUUUUUUUUUUUGGUCAUAAUUCUGCCAUCAGAAGCCUCUUUGAUGACUCGAAAUAACUCUACAACGAAGACCCCACCACAGGGUCUGCUCAAAUGGCCAGGUGGAUUUCAAUCGGCAUCUCUCCCAUGAAGUGAUUUCUGGUAAUGCAAGAUUUCUGUAACGGCCAAAAAGUAUUGCCACUUUGACGGAUCCUAUCAACUGUGCUUUCGGCUACCUUGGAUCUUUUCUAGAGACCAAGGGAUGCAGUCUGCUCCCUUCUGGAAUCUUGUGUGACCCAAGGAUGUUUGUGGAGCACCAAGGGUAAUGACUUGACUUCCCCAUGGAGAAGUCCUAGGCUGAGGCCGCUGUGAGCAGGUGGCUGGGAGCUCAUGGCUUUAGUCAUCCCUCCCGAAGCCAGUUGCUCAGGUGCUCCUCCUGGCUGGAUUCCAGAGUUUUCAACAAGGUUGCAAAGCCAGGAGAGAAAAUUUGAAAAAUCUGUGGGCAGAGGGAGGUAGGAUGAUGGUUGAUUCGGAUGGGAGUUGGCCACCAAGCCCAUAGUAUCAAAAUGGUGGUUCACCUUGGCUGGCUGUCGGCAUGGGCUGGGGAGUUCUGAAAACCUUAUUACCAGGCUAUCCCGGGGCAAUGAAACCAGGAUUUCUGGAGCUGGGACCCAGGUGUCCGUGUGCUUCAAAACUCCCUAAAGGCUUCCUUUCCAUGUGUGGCCAAGGUAGGGAAGACCUCCUUGCUUUCUGGAGGGCUAGGUGCUGUUGGAGGCGGAUCUUAAUAACCCAGAGCUAGCUGGUCUUACAGAAACCACAGCCAAGGGUUUGUCACUGGCUCAGCAGGUCUCACCGCCAGUCCCAGCCCAGCUGAGGGACAAGAUGGUUUCUCUGAGGAGCUCAAGGAGCAUGCGAUCUCUCAAACAGGGCACCUACCAUGCUCCUCCAAAGGCAGCUGAUCUAUGGAGAAUUGUGAGGGAACUGAAUACAGUGUCUGGAGGUUGGGAUUUUUCCUUCAGUGUUCCUUGUCUAGCAAGAAAGAUGGGGGAGUUUCACCUCUUGAAGAUACCCCUGCCCCCCCAGGAGCACCCUGCCCAUCCUUAGAGCUAAUGAGUCAUAUGAGGAAGAGGCUUCUUCAAGACAGAGCAAUGCAAUACUUGUAACUUUUGUAAAUAGCCCCAUCUUUCAGAGUGCUGUCCUUUCUACAUUUGAUAUGCUUGUAUUUCUGUAGGAUGUAUAUAGUUUAGGGGAUUUUGUUUGUUUGUUUCAUUUUGUUUUUUAGAACAGUCGACAUGUCUUUUUAUUUAUUGCUUGAAAAAAGAUCAUUUGAAGAAAAAUAAAUACGUUUUCA
RNAcentral lists this long non-coding RNA (2908 nucleotides) under Canis lupus familiaris (dog). Its description in RNAcentral is "lncRNA (ENSCAFG00845012880.1)". Lineage: Eukaryota; Metazoa; Chordata; Mammalia; Carnivora; Canidae. The record is from RNAcentral.